GAUGAACGCUAGCUACAGGCUUAACACAUGCAAGUCGAGGGGCAUCAGGAAGAAAGCUUGCUUUCUUUGCUGGCGACCGGCGCACGGGUGAGUAACACGUAUCCAACCUGCCCUUUACUCGGGGAUAGCCUUUCGAAAGAAAGAUUAAUACCCGAUAGCAUAAUGAUUCCGCAUGGUUUCAUUAUUAAAGGAUUCCGGUAAAGGAUGGGGAUGCGUUCCAUUAGGUUGUUGGUGAGGUAACGGCCCACCAAGCCUUCGAUGGAUAGGGGUUCUGAGAGGAAGGUCCCCCACAUUGGAACUGAGACACGGUCCAAACUCCUACGGGAGGCAGCAGUGAGGAAUAUUGGUCAAUGGGCGCUAGCCUGAACCAGCCAAGUAGCGUGAAGGAUGAAGGCUCUAUGGGUCGUAAACUUCUUUUAUAUAAGAAUAAAGUGCAGUAUGUAUACUGUUUUGUAUGUAUUAUAUGAAUAAGGAUCGGCUAACUCCGUGCCAGCAGCCGCGGUAAUACGGAGGAUCCGAGCGUUAUCCGGAUUUAUUGGGUUUAAAGGGAGCGUAGGUGGACUGGUAAGUCAGUUGUGAAAGUUUGCGGCUCAACCGUAAAAUUGCAGUUGAUACUGUCAGUCUUGAGUACAGUAGAGGUGGGCGGAAUUCGUGGUGUAGCGGUGAAAUGCUUAGAUAUCACGAAGAACUCCGAUUGCGAAGGCAGCUCACUGGACUGCAACUGACACUGAUGCUCGAAAGUGUGGGUAUCAAACAGGAUUAGAUACCCUGGUAGUCCACACAGUAAACGAUGAAUACUCGCUGUUUGCGAUAUACAGUAAGCGGCCAAGCGAAAGCAUUAAGUAUUCCACCUGGGGAGUACGCCGGCAACGGUGAAACUCAAAGGAAUUGACGGGGGCCCGCACAAGCGGAGGAACAUGUGGUUUAAUUCGAUGAUACGCGAGGAACCUUACCCGGGCUUAAAUUGCAGUGGAAUGAUGUGGAAACAUGUCAGUGAGCAAUCACCGCUGUGAAGGUGCUGCAUGGUUGUCGUCAGCUCGUGCCGUGAGGUGUCGGCUUAAGUGCCAUAACGAGCGCAACCCUUAUCUUCAGUUACUAACAGGUCAUGCUGAGGACUCUGGAGAGACUGCCGUCGUAAGAUGUGAGGAAGGUGGGGAUGACGUCAAAUCAGCACGGCCCUUACGUCCGGGGCUACACACGUGUUACAAUGGGGGGUACAGAAGGCAGCUAGCGGGUGACCGUAUGCUAAUCCCAAAAUCCUCUCUCAGUUCGGAUCGAAGUCUGCAACCCGACUUCGUGAAGCUGGAUUCGCUAGUAAUCGCGCAUUCAGCCACGGCGCGGUGAAUACGUUCCCGGGCCU
RNAcentral lists this ribosomal RNA (1360 nucleotides) under uncultured bacterium. RNAcentral describes it as "bacterial SSU rRNA". It matches the Rfam family "Bacterial small subunit ribosomal RNA", at positions 28 to 1381 of the family's 1533-position model. The record is from RNAcentral.